Long non-coding RNA from Chenopodium quinoa (quinoa), 3128 nucleotides. RefSeq lists it as uncharacterized. Lineage: Eukaryota; Viridiplantae; Streptophyta; Magnoliopsida; Caryophyllales; Amaranthaceae. The transcript is spliced from 5 exons. The record is from RefSeq and is a predicted model, not a curated record.
AAACACGAAACCCCUCUCAUUUCUCAGUUCUCAACCCUAACUAUUCAUCUCUAUUUUAUCCAGAUACAAAAUUCUGCAAUGAGGUUUAGAACUUCAUGAAUUUCACACUCGGAUCUUGUUUCUCCUUGCACUACUCAUAUGCUUGCUGAAUUUCUCUAUUCGCCUUCAAUGGUUUUCCAUUUUAUCCCUUUCUUUGCCGAUAAUAUUGAGGAACAUUUUCAUUCCAACUUUGAUAGAGAUGCUAUAAAGGGCUCUUGAAUCUUCAAAAGGUAUUUCAUUGGCAAAUGGGCUAAGAGUUUAUUUUUUGGGAACUUUAUACAUACAACUAUUUCUCUGAAUUAAAUAAAUUAUUGUAAUGGUUUUGCUUUUGCUACAUAGCUUAUUGAACUUAAUAGGUAAUUAGGGAGUAGUAAUAAGUGGAUGUCUACUAAUCCAUUGUAUGUACUACGCACAUAUGACAUGCUUAAGUAAGAAAAUUCGACAAAUAUUAUACCUGGAAUUGAUUUUCCAUGUAAGAAGGGUUAGUGCACCGUGCCCCUAUGGCUGCUUCAAAGCCAGUGAUAUAUCUAUUAUUUUUUAACUACUGUUUUCUAUUGAGUUGUGCAAUUUCUGUCUUCUUUUUAAGGUUUAUCUAAAAUGUGUUAACUCUUGUUGCCAGCUUGUCAUCUUUAGACUUCAUAACGGAAGAGGUAUUUGUUUUACCCUUAUAUAUUUGUUCAUUUUAGAAGAAUGAACAACAAUACUUUGGGUUUAAUCACGCCACUUGUUAUUUUAUUUCCAUCACAUAGUUGGGUGCAAUUUUUAGUGUCAGGAUGGUGGUGGUACGGAUAAAGCACCUGCAUCAAAACACGAGCCCAUGAUAAAACAGGAGGUGCUACUAACUCUUGUUGGGGAAGUUAAUCAAGUGGCCCCUGUGAUGAAGAAGAAAUUUAGUCGUAAAUAGAGAGUAAGAAGAUCCUGGGAUUGAACAGACGAUCUUGGUGAGUCUGAAAUAGUACUGAUUAUCCUCUCUAAGGAAAUUCGUCAUCAAUGAGGUCUGCUGCUCUCUUUUACACAUGUUUGUUUUCUCACAUGUCUUUGUUUCCCUGUUAUUCUGCCUGAAAAUCUGAAAUUGAGGUCCUUAUGGUGCUUCAGUGUAAGAUAUUUUCAGAAAUUUAUUGAAUCAAGAAUGUAUUGUUCGAUUCUGUAAAUGUGCUAGAAAAAUUUGUAUUUUGGAAAAAUUUCAGAGCUGAAUUCAGAGCUGAAUUUCUGAUCUGAAGUUCAGAACUGAAUUUUAGAUCUGAAAAUCAGAUUUGAUACAUUUAUACUUAAGUCUUUGCUUAGCAUACUAAUCUGAUUUCAAUAUGUGUUUGAUCUUUCAUAUAAUCAAGUUCACUCUUAAGUUCUUGUAUGCUUAAAGCUUAUUUACAAUUGGUGAAUGAAAUGACUAUUUUAAGUUGUUAAUAAUCUGAUAGGAUUAAUGUGCUUCAAACGCAUCUGAAUGCACACAAAUUAUAUCUGAUGUGUUAGUAUAUUCUGGUAUUAAUUCAAUUAAUGUUGUUAAUCAAAUUGGUAGAAUUUUGUGUCUAUCUGAUGGGUUUUUGUAUCUAGUUGAUCUGCAAUUGUUACAACCUGUGAAAAAGUUAGGGAUUCUAAAGGGUGUUAAUGUUGUUGCUAGAAGGGUUUGUAGUGAAUCUGAAAAUUCUAAUUGGAUCAAUAAACAACGAGUUAGUAGUAGUGGAAGUAGUGUAGGUGGGAGGCUUAUGAAAAAGUUAGGUGGCGGGGUUAGAUUGAAUGGGGUGAGGUUUAAGGAAUUCAGUUCUAGGGGAGUGGAUAAUGAUGGUACCUACCUUUUUGUGGUGGCAAUGGGGAAGAAAGUGGUGUUCAUUGAGCUGAAUUCAGGCAGUAGUAAGCAUGAUCGAGAGGUCGAUGGGAAACGUGGGUUGUUCAUGGUUUUGAAGGAAAUGUCGUGUAUUGAUGGUGUGAAGAGUAUGGCUUGGCUUGAUGAUUCAUUGAUUUUAGGGACUUGUAAUGCUUAUAGUUUGAUGUCAUGUAUUACAGGGCAUGUUGAUUUGAUAUUUUCAUAGGGUGUAACAAUUGCAGAUCCAUGCAGAUCAAUUGCUGAGUUGGUGGUAUCCUGGUAUUUGGUAAUUCUGGUAUUUGAUUGCAGAUUAACUAGAUACAAAAACCCAUCUGGUAAUUCUGGUAUUUACAAUUCAUGUUGUUUGCCUAACACAGCUGCUAUUCCUUGUCUCAAAUUGUUGUCAAAAGAUAAGAAGGUGCUUCUACUAGUUGAUCAUGCGGGCAUUGUAGUGGAUAAUCAUGUGUUCUCCUCAUUCGAUUGAUUGGAAAAAGCAAUGUAGCUGCAACAAGAGAAUAGACUGGGACACUUGAGCAUUCAAGGCCUAUACAUAUGGAUAUCCCUUUCAAAGAUAUUUCCAAUGGUUAAGGUCGUUAUCCAAUGAUUCUCGAGACCCCUUCCCGAGUUUGGCAUUGAUUAGGAUAACUAAUGUUCUCUAUUUGAAGCUCAAGCAUGGAGAAGUGCAAGUUCUAUUUGACUUUGGGCCGUGCAUUCCAGCCGUUGGGGCACAAAUUCUCGUGUUGAACCCACCAUCGUGGUGAUUUUGAGUCUGCCAUGUCCCGUGUUUAUCAAAAGCAUUAAGUGCAGCAUCAAAGUGAGAGUAAACCCUCUCUUGCAAUAUCAAACUGACUUCACCUCUUUUGCUAUCAUUUCAACAUCAAUUUCAAUUGCCAACAUCAAGUUUUCAAAUCUAAAAUACAAAAAUUUCAGAGUUCUUUCCCCAAUUUAAUAAAAAAAAAAAUGGGACUUUUCAAAAUUUUGAAGUUUUGUGUUGAGGUUUGGGGCUUGUUUUUGGGAGUUUUAUAUGUUCUUACACCUUCAUUUUGAGAAUUUUUCAAGCAUUUCAAGGCUUCAUUGAGGUAUGGUUUCUUAUUGUCUAUUCAUCAUCUUCCUCUUUGAUUUAAGCUUGAAACUUUAUGCUUUCAUGGUGAAACUCUAUGGUUAGUUCUUUUCACUUGGAAUUUAUGUUGAAUGAUAUCGUUGGGUGUUGAAUUGAAGUUUCCUCAUGAUAAAUGUGUGACCUUUGAUUGAAUUCGUGAAUAACAAUUGUUGGCUAUUUUCUCUCUCA